RNAcentral lists this non-coding RNA (29 nucleotides) under Rattus norvegicus (Norway rat). The record is from RNAcentral. Lineage: Eukaryota; Metazoa; Chordata; Mammalia; Rodentia; Muridae.
UGCCUGGCAUAGCACAGUCUUUCUGUGGU